GAUGAACGCUGGCGGCGUGCCUAAUACAUGCAAGUCGAGCGAAUGGAUUAGGAGCUUGCUCUUAUGAAGUUAGCGGCGGACGGGUGAGUAACACGUGGGUAACCUGCCCAUAAGACUGGGAUAACUCCGGGAAACCGGGGCUAAUACCGGAUAACAUUUUGAACCGCAUGGUUCGAAAUUGAAAGGCAGCUUCGGCUGUCACUUAUGGAUGGACCCGCGUCGCAUUAGCUAGUUGGUGAGGUAACGGCUCACCAAGGCAACGAUGCGUAGCCGACCGGAGAGGGUGAUCGGCCACACUGGGACUGAGACACGGCCCAGACUCCUACGGGAGGCAGCAGUAGGGAAUCUUCCGCAAUGGACGAAAGUCUGACGGAGCAACGCCGCGUGAGUGAUGAAGGCUUUCGGGUCGUAAAACUCUGUUGUUAGGGAAGAACAAGUGCUAGUUGAAUAAGCUGGCACCUUGACGGUACCUAACCAGAAAGCCACGGCUAACUACGUGCCAGCCGCCGCGGUAA
RNAcentral lists this ribosomal RNA (515 nucleotides) under uncultured bacterium. Its description in RNAcentral is "partial 16S ribosomal RNA". It matches the Rfam family "Bacterial small subunit ribosomal RNA", at positions 28 to 523 of the family's 1533-position model. The record is from RNAcentral.